Molecule: ribosomal RNA, 503 nt
Filed under: uncultured bacterium
Lineage: Bacteria
Description: partial 16S ribosomal RNA
Rfam family: Bacterial small subunit ribosomal RNA
Source: RNAcentral
AUUGAACGCUGGCGGCAGGCUUAACACAUGCAAGUCGAGCGGGGUGAUGGUGCUUGCACUAUCACUUAGCGGCGGACGAGUGAGUAAUGCUUAGGAAUCUGCCUAUUAGUGGGGGACAACAUCUCGAAAGGGAUGCUAAUACCGCAUACGUCCUACGGGAGAAAGCAGGGGAUCACUUGUGACCUUGCGCUAAUAGAUGAGCCUAAGUCGGAUUAGCUAGUUGGUGGGGUAAAGGCCUACCAAGGCGACGUUCUGUAGCGGGUCUGGGGGGAUGAUCGGCCACACUGGGACCGAGACACGGCCCAGACUCCUACGGGAGGCAGCAGUGGGGAAUAUUGGACAAUGGGGGGAACCCUGAUCCAUCCAUGCCGCGUGUGUGAAGAAGGCCUUAUGGUUGUAAAGCACUUUAAGCGAGGAGGAGGCUCUUUUGGUUAAUACCCAAGAUGAGUGGACGUUACUCGCAGAAUAAGCACCGGCUAACUCUGUGCCAGCCGCCGCGGUAA